Molecule: long non-coding RNA, 937 nt
Organism: Cercocebus atys (sooty mangabey)
Lineage: Eukaryota; Metazoa; Chordata; Mammalia; Primates; Cercopithecidae
Exons: 3
Source: RefSeq, a predicted model, not a curated record
CUGGAACCAAACGCGGCAGCUGAAGUUCUCAGGGACACAUUUGCUUCUCCCCCUGAAGAACCAGUUACAAAGCGUGAAUUCCUCUCUGGGGUCCCAUCAGAACAAAGAAACAGAUUCAAGAAAAUUAUUUUUUUCUUUUGAGCUGUUCAUAGCUUACAGUAAUUGGAUAAAUUACACUUUUGUGAGAACAAUUGAAACACUAACCUUUCUGUCUACCUGAUGUCUCCAGAAUUUGGAAAGUAUUUCCCUGCAGACUGCAGCAAGACAACUUAAAUAAACUAUGGGAAAAAUCACUAUAGCAACUUAUAUAUAAACAGCCUUUUUGUUUGUUGAUGUAUGGAAUACUCAGAAAGUUCACUGCAAGACCUGAUUUAAACUACAACCAGGAGACUCUGUCAGAUUAACACUACAAUCUGAAGAACUAUAGAGACUCUCAAAAAACUAGUGUAUAGUCUACAGUAGAUAUUAACCUUUGUUUCUCUUCUGUUUUCGUAGAAACACCUUUUAUUAAAAAUCUGUUUGCCUGCUUCAUAUAUAGAGUCCUAACCCAUCUGUAAUGCCACCUCCUGGAAUGGGACAUAGCUGUUUAACUGAACUGAUCUAUUCUCGGGACUAAGAGACUGAUAAAAAAGAUAUAAAAUGAUAUAUUCAAAUUUGCUAUUUUCUGUUUAUCCCUUUUGUUUUUCCACUCCUUUGUCUGUCUGUUUCUGUAACCAAAAAAGGGUCCUGAUCCAGACCCCAAGAGAGGAUUCUUGGAUCUUGCGCAAGAAAAAGUUUGCGAUGAGUCCACAGUGCAAAGUGAAAGUAAGGUUGUUAAGAAAGUGAAGGAGUGAAAUAGUCCAUAGACAGAGUAGAUCAUUCCCAAAAGUAAGAGGAGGAAUGCACCCACCGUAAGUACAGUGCUUGUUUAUAUAUAGGAUAACAACAACAACAAAAA